AUUGAACGCUGGCGGCAGGCCUAACACAUGCAAGUCGAACGCGUGGCGGACGGGUGAGUAAUGUCUGGGAAACUGCCCGAUGUAGGGGGAUAACUCCUGGAAACUGUAUCUAAUACCGCAUACCCUCUCAUGUGCCCCGAUGGGAUUAUCUUGUAGGUGAGGGAACGGCUCACCUAGGCGACGAUCCCUAGCUGGUCUGAGAGGAUGACCAGCCACACUGGAACUGAGACACGGUCCAGACUCCUACGGGAGGCAGCAGUGGGGAAUAUUGCACAAUGGGCGCAAGCCUGAUGCAGCCAUGCCGCGUGUAUGAAGAAGGCCUUCGGGUUGUAAAGUACUUUCAGCGGGGAGGCGUUACCCGCAGAAGAAGCACCGGCUAACUCCGUGCCAGCCGCCGCGGUAAUUC
This 406-nucleotide ribosomal RNA is filed under the name uncultured bacterium. Its description in RNAcentral is "partial 16S ribosomal RNA". It matches the Rfam family "Bacterial small subunit ribosomal RNA", at positions 30 to 526 of the family's 1533-position model. The record is from RNAcentral.